GCCAAGCUAGCCAAGUUGGUCACGGCGCAUGUCUGAAAAACAUGAAAUUGAGGUUCGAUUCCUCAGCUUGGCACCA
This 76-nucleotide transfer RNA is filed under the name Candidatus Pacebacteria bacterium CG10_big_fil_rev_8_21_14_0_10_42_12. Its description in RNAcentral is "tRNA-Phe". It matches the Rfam family "tRNA". Rfam says of the family: Transfer RNA (tRNA) molecules are approximately 80 nucleotides in length. Lineage: Bacteria; Bacillati; Minisyncoccota. The record is from RNAcentral.